Molecule: transfer RNA, 72 nt
Filed under: Camelus bactrianus (Bactrian camel)
Lineage: Eukaryota; Metazoa; Chordata; Mammalia; Artiodactyla; Camelidae
Also listed under: 2 other names
Rfam family: tRNA
About the family: Transfer RNA (tRNA) molecules are approximately 80 nucleotides in length. Their secondary structure includes four short double-helical elements and three loops (D, anti-codon, and T loops).
Source: Rfam by way of RNAcentral
GAGGGGAUAGCUCAGUGGCAGAGUGAGUGCUUAGCACGCACAGGAUCCUGGGUUCAAUCCCCAGUCCCUGCA